RNAcentral lists this transfer RNA (72 nucleotides) under Camelus bactrianus (Bactrian camel). It matches the Rfam family "tRNA". From Rfam's summary of the family: Transfer RNA (tRNA) molecules are approximately 80 nucleotides in length. Their secondary structure includes four short double-helical elements and three loops (D, anti-codon, and T loops). RNAcentral also lists the same sequence under 2 other names. The record is from Rfam by way of RNAcentral. Lineage: Eukaryota; Metazoa; Chordata; Mammalia; Artiodactyla; Camelidae.
GGGGCCAUAGCUCAGUGGUAGGACUCAUGCUUGGCAUGCACCAGGUCCUGGGUUCAAUCCCCAGUGCCUCCA